RNAcentral lists this long non-coding RNA (1125 nucleotides) under Musa acuminata (dwarf banana). RNAcentral describes it as "long non-coding RNA (MACU_LNC003183)". Lineage: Eukaryota; Viridiplantae; Streptophyta; Magnoliopsida; Zingiberales; Musaceae. The record is from RNAcentral.
GGCCCAGAUCGCAGGGCCAUAGAUCACCACAUUGCGAUCCCUUUGCAGGACCAAUAUAUAGUUGCCUUGGUCCCUCGAGGUGUUGGAGGCCCACAGAGCGUUGCCGUUGCUGUAGAUCACAAGGUUGCCGUCCGCCUGCAUCUUGAGGAUGCAGUUGUAGCCACGGUUGUCCGUGCCGGAGGACCACACGGCAUUACCGGAGUCGUAGAGGACCAGGUUGCAGUCUGACUGUAUAGUGAAUCUGUAGGACCCGUACGUCAGCGACUGCCCCGUGUAGAGCGUCUCGUCGGUGUAGAGAAUGUUGUCGGCAGUGCAAGACGGUAUGAGAAGGCCGAAGAUGGCCGGCAGGAGGAGGAGGAGGAGGGCGGAGGUGGAAGUGGAAAUCGCCAUUGUAGAUGUGGUAUGUGGUGGCUCUUUGGAUCAGCUGGUGAUGAAGAGCCAAUAACAGCCCCUCCAUUUAUAGAUGCGAGCCCGUAGUGAAAUGGUGAGAGUGAUGCAGAGACCGGUGGUCGUAGAACAGCGAUGCAUGUGACAGAGGUCGCAUGGAGAUGGGAUGAAGGUUGUACGGAUUCGAGCAAAUCGACAAACCUUAUCCGUGAACGUGGUGGCAGCAGGAAGGUCGGCCUCUCGUUUGAUGCACGAGGAAGGCGAGGGAAUAAGAUAAUGUUUUGAAGUCUUCAAAAUUAUAUGGAUUGGUAUCGUGGACGGCCUCCCGUUUGAGGCACGAGGACGGCAAGGGUAUAAGAUAAUGUUGGGUGGUCUUAUUUUUUUAUUUUAAGUUUUCAAAACUUUAUUAAUUUCUAUGGUUUAUUUAUUUAUUUAUUUAGACUUUUAUUAUUAUCAUUUACAACAAUCGUUUUAGUUUUUUUUUUCUGCAAAAUUAGACAAUGAUAUAAUUAAUAAUGUUUUCGAAACCUCUUAACUUUUUUGUUUUUUGUUUUGGAGAUGUGAUGGUAUUCCAACUCAUCAAUCUUAAUUUUUUUGAUAUUUAAACAUGAGCAAUAACUACAUUAUCAUAGAUGUUAUUACAAUCAUAAACAAAAGCUUAUUGUUCUUGACUAAUCAAGUGAUUAAGAAGAGGUUUAAUUCGAUUAGCUAGAGUUUUUGCGAGGAGGGGGGGGGGGA